ACUCGUUGUGAUAUUCUGUGUCUCCGUGGAGGCUUUUGGUGGUCUUUUCUAGUGAAGAGGUAUCAGCCUGUACGAACCUCAGCAGCAAAUCAAGGUUCCGCUUUGUUUCUUGUAAAACACCAAUAUCCGCUUUUAUUCUGAAAUGUUUCUACACAUUUUCCUCUCAUGUGCGAGUAAGAGUCGCUCACUUGAUGUCGAGACGGAUGACGAGGCAGUGAAACAUCACGGAAGCAGCAGAAUGAGGACAAACACACCAGGAGGUUGAAAAUACACAAACCGACAGAAAGAUGAGCAAAAUGAAGACAACGCAAACGAGACACGUGAUGCUCCUUGAGCAGGUUUUCAUCCCAGCAUUUGAACGCGGGUUCCGCAGCACCGUCAGCGUGGGCCUGUCUGUGGCAGCAGGUCCUGGCUCCUCUCAGCCAUCUGCUCCUCUUUGUGUUGAGGUAAUUCAAUCAGUGGCUGUGACUGUCGUCUGUUCACUCAACCUUCUGGACUUGCGUUUCUUGUAACUCAAUCGCUCCCUGCUGCCUCUCAAUGUUACCUGCAACAUCCGGAGCAGAACGAGGGCCUCGCCUCAGCACCGCUGACCUUUGACCUCUGACCCCUGUCACUUAGCGAGCUCCCUCAUUAGUGGCUGCAGGACCCACAUCAAAGUGCCGUUUCCCUGCUGCUGUGAAAGACCAUGUCUCACACCUCAGCUCCUCUGAGCUGCUCUGACUGAGUCUUAGAGAAGACUGACAUCAUAAACCACAGCGAUGAAGCGGGUUCAGCAGAGCCUGGUAGUGAUGAAGCCAGAGCCUGCUGUGACUGAAGCAGGAAACAGUGGGUAGCGCUGAGAACCUGCUCAGACACAUGCUGCACGCGGCGCCGUGGAACGAAAGAAUGCAUCAAAACGGUUCAGACUUGACUCUGACAGGAAACCACCACGUCUGAGCAGCUCCACCCGUCGAAGACGCGCUGGGAAGGAAACGCGGAGCCUCCCUUCACUAAACAGAAGAGCUGCAGAUGAUUUUAUCAGUGGACGUCAGAUUAUUAUUUUUUAUUUAUACAGUUGCUUUAGAAAAUACUCUGGUUCAUUUAAUGUGUGCUGCUUAGAGAUUGUUAAAAUAAAAAAGACAUUUUAUA
Betta splendens (Siamese fighting fish) is the source of this 1128-nucleotide long non-coding RNA. RefSeq lists it as uncharacterized. NCBI's taxonomy places the organism in Eukaryota, Metazoa, Chordata, Actinopteri, Anabantiformes, Osphronemidae. The record is from RefSeq and is a predicted model, not a curated record. The transcript is spliced from 2 exons.